AUUGGUAUUAUGCUAAUAUCUGCGUGCAGACCACUACUCCACCAUUCAGCACCUUUUCCUCCUGGUGUGAUAAGCCAUGACUCUCAAAUACCCUGUAACUAUCCCACAACUGGCAUGUUAAAGGACCACUAUACGCACUCGGACCACUUCAGCUCAAUGAAGUGGUCUGGGUACCAGGUCCAUCUGGGAUUAACCCUGCAG
This is a non-coding RNA of Pelobates cultripes (western spadefoot toad), 201 nucleotides long. NCBI's taxonomy places the organism in Eukaryota, Metazoa, Chordata, Amphibia, Anura, Pelobatidae. The record is from the annotation of a GenBank genome assembly.